GUUUUUGCAUGUGUGCAUGGCAUGUUGGGAAUUAAAGAGAUGCUCCAUUUUACAAAACGAAACAAAGCAAUCAGAGUUUUCAAAAAUCUGCACCUUAGAAGUUUGCGUGUGGACGAGACGCCAAAACAUAGAGGAAAAUAUCUAAAAAUAUCUGAAUACAUUCAGACAGGGUUUGAGGCAAAAUGUGUAAAACGCUAUGGAGCUAGAACAGUGGCAGUAAGUUUUGGCAUUGAAUUAAAAAAAAAUGCCAGUAAAAAAUUAAACAGGUUGAAAUAAGUUCCACUGAAAGAUAACGUCCUGUAUGUUGGUGAGCCGAAGACAAUUUUCCACCCUGGUGGACAAUAAAGAUUUAUUCUAUUCUAUUCUAAAACACAGGAAUUAAAAAUUAUUUUAUUUUCAUAUUUUUUGGCAUUUUUUUUCUUUGCGUCACUAUUUUUUCAGUCUUUUUUUUUUUUUUACUUACAGUAUUUUUAUAUUUAUUAAGAUUUAUUAUUUAUUUUUUCAGUUUUAACUUUCUGUCACUGUGUUGGCGUGGAGAGGAGGAGUUUGUGGGGAGGGGGAAAGGAAAUCUUGAUUUACAUAGAAUCUGCACACUGAGGAGAGGACGUCUCUUCUUGGCAGUCCUUCAAGAGUGACAUGUUGAAAAAAUCUGAAGCCUGAAAACUCAUCAGAAUUUUCUAAUAAAUAAAUGAAUUUUUAAUUCCUGUUUCAUUUUUCAGUUAAUUUUUUGUCAGUGCUAAUUUUUUAUUUAACUGUUCUGGCUCCAGAAAACCAUCAUGGAGAUUGUUAAUGUAGCUUGUAGUGUGUGUGUGAUGACAAUAAUACAAAAAAUUAAACUGAACAGCUUUUGUCUGUUGGCCUUUUUUUGCUUUUAAUUCUCAAGUUGAUCAACUUGAACACAUUUAUCAGAUCAUUAUUUUCAUGUCCCAACAGGACAGCAGUUAAAAACAACACGUACAACAGUGAAACAAUCUCUUUAGAGCAACAGAAACCCAUAUGAAACAACUCCGAGCACACU
Molecule: long non-coding RNA, 1018 nt
Organism: Epinephelus moara (kelp grouper)
Lineage: Eukaryota; Metazoa; Chordata; Actinopteri; Perciformes; Serranidae
Exons: 2
Source: RefSeq, a predicted model, not a curated record